RNAcentral lists this long non-coding RNA (2332 nucleotides) under Brassica napus (rape). RNAcentral's name for it is "long non-coding RNA (BNAP_LNC011456)". The record is from RNAcentral. Lineage: Eukaryota; Viridiplantae; Streptophyta; Magnoliopsida; Brassicales; Brassicaceae.
UGGAUACAUUAUUGUGGCAAAUGAGCAUCAACAUGAUUUACCAUUUCGGUUAAUUUUAACCAUUUCGGUUAAUUUUAACCAUUUCCUGCUCUGCUUUCUUCUUCAUCUAUAGCUAUUUAAAGUAUCUAUUUGUGAAAGCAUGGAAUAUGCUCUGCUCCACUAUUUCACACAUACCAAACAGAGUUAACAACAUACUCAAACGACUUCAACUUUCUUUUCUUCACGUCUCUACCUGCAAAUAAACAUCUAAAAUACAUAAUUAUUCUCAAUCCCCAAUCACAGAAAAUAAAUGCAUACCAUAGUGACUUCUAACUAAACAAACUCGGCCACUGUGAAACCUGCAUGACCGUUUGACUCAUGGCCAUUUCAUAACACUCCAAAGCGCAGAUAAAAAAUUGUUGAAAAUAGGUUUUACCGGGUUUAUUCAGGUUAUACAAGGGGGAAAAAAUUAGUGAGACCAUCUAUCUAGAGGUAUGAUCCCAAACAAAGACGUUGAAGUUCAGUGAGAGAUGGCCAAGGCAGAGUCCAGCAAACAUAAGGUUAUAGAAACAAGUCUAAUGGGAACAAACGAAGAAAAGGCUUUGUGCCACUCAUUAUUCUGUCUCUACCCAAAAAAAAAAAGAAGAAGAGGAACCUCAAAAAGGAAAUAGGUGAUUCUUAUUCGACUAGAGAAUCUGAUAAUGCAAAAAUCAAUACCUUAAGAUUCUUUUUAGAUUAAGACAGAAUAUAUGUCCUUCGAGAGUUUAACGGUUAACAGAUGACGUUGUAAUAUGCCGUCUGAGAGAUAAUAUAGAGAAUGAGAACCACACCAGACCUUUUUCUUUUAACUUUUCCUAAACAAAUUCUGAAAUUAAAUAGCACAAGAAAAAUAAAAAGAGAAAAAGGAGGGACCUUAUGUAUGAGAUUAUAAAAUGGCAAGCUAAGUUGAUAUCCAAAACUAGGCCGCCUAAGCUCUUGUUUGGUACCCGAGAGUCUCCGCCUCUGUAUCCAACCUCUGUCACAUGUAGCAGAGGGAGUUUUGAUAUCGUAUAGUGCUGUAAAAUCUUUGUCCAUUCUAUUGAUGUGUUUAUAGAUAUUUAUGUUACUCUUUGUCAAAGGAUUUUGCAGUGCAAUAAGAAGAGAGAUGGCAAGAAAUGAGUGGAUCAACAGUUACCUGGAAGCUAUUCUUGAUGUUGGAACUAGCAACAAAAAGAGGUUUGAGAGCAACUCCAAGAUCGUCCAGAAGCUUGGAGAUAUGAAUAGAAAGGAACCUCAAGAGAAGGUGUUUAGUCCCAUCAAGUACUUUGUGGAAGAGGUUGUCAACAGCUUCGAUGAGUCUGACCUGUAUAAAACAUGGAUUAAGGUUUGAUCCUCAACCUAUAAAUUUAGAUCAAUGAUAUACAAAGAGAAUAUAUCAAUGAUAUAACACAAAAAAAAACCUCAAAAGUGAUUUUAGCAAAACAAAAGUUUUUACAAAUAAAUUAAAUACCUGCAAGUGAUGGUAGAGGGAUCUUUAAACUUGUUGCGGCAGGUGAUAGCAACAAGGAACUUAUAGAAACAAGUCUAAUGGGAACAAACGAAGAAAAGGCUUUGUGCCACUCAUUAUUCUGUCUCUACCCAAAAAAAAAAAGAAGAAGAGGAACCUCAAAAAGGAAAUAGGUGAUUCUUAUUCGACUAGAGAAUCUGAUAAUGCAAAAAUCAAUACCUUAAGAUUCUUUUUAGAUUAAGACAGAAUAUAUGUCCUUCGAGAGUUUAACGGUUAACAGAUGACGUUGUAAUAUGCCGUCUGAGAGAUAAUAUAGAGAAUGAGAACCACACCAGACCUUUUUCUUUUAACUUUUCCUAAACAAAUUCUGAAAUUAAAUAGCACAAGAAAAAUAAAAAGAGAAAAAGGAGGGACCUUAUGUAUGAGAUUAUAAAAUGGCAAGCUAAGUUGAUAUCCAAAACUAGGCCGCCUAAGCUCUUGUUUGGUACCCGAGAGUCUCCGCCUCUGUAUCCAACCUCUGUCACAUGUAGCAGAGGGAGUUUUGAUAUCGUAUAGUGCUGUAAAAUCUUUGUCCAUUCUAUUGAUGUGUUUAUAGAUAUUUAUGUUACUCUUUGUCAAAGGAUUUUGCAGUGCAAUAAGAAGAGAGAUGGCAAGAAAUGAGUGGAUCAACAGUUACCUGGAAGCUAUUCUUGAUGUUGGAACUAGCAACAAAAAGAGGUUUGAGAGCAACUCCAAGAUCGUCCAGAAGCUUGGAGAUAUGAAUAGAAAGGAACCUCAAGAGAAGGUGUUUAGUCCCAUCAAGUACUUUGUGGAAGAGGUUGUCAACAGCUUCGAUGAGUCUGACCUGUAUAAAACAUGGAUUAAGGU